CCUACGUGGGGCAGCAGUGGGGAAUAUUGCGCAAUGGGCGAAAGCCUGACGCAGCGACGCCGCGUGAGGGAUGAAGGUCUUCGGAUCGUAAACCUCUGUCAGCAGGGAAGAACGGUCACUGUGCUAAUCAGCAGUGAAUUGACGGUACCUGCAAAGGACGCACCGGCUAACUCCGUGCCAGCAGCCGCGGUAAUACGGAGGGUGCGAGCGUUAAUCGGAAUUACUGGGCGUAAAGCGCUCGUAGGCGGUAUUUGAAGUAAAGGGUGAAAUCCCCGCGCUCAACGUGGGAACUGCCUUUGAAACUGGCAAACUGGAGUAUGUGAGAGGAUAGUGGAAUUCCAGGUGUAGGAGUGAAAUCCGUAGAUAUCUGGAGGAACAUCAGUGGCGAAGGCGACUAUCUGGCACAUAACUGACGCUGAGGAGCGAAAGCGUGGGUAGCAAACAGGAUUAGAUACCCGUGUAGUC
This 465-nucleotide ribosomal RNA is filed under the name uncultured bacterium. Its description in RNAcentral is "partial 16S ribosomal RNA". It matches the Rfam family "Bacterial small subunit ribosomal RNA", at positions 338 to 795 of the family's 1533-position model. The record is from RNAcentral.